Molecule: unclassified non-coding RNA, 335 nt
Filed under: soil metagenome
Description: partial contains 5.8S ribosomal RNA, internal transcribed spacer 2, and large subunit ribosomal RNA
Rfam family: 5.8S ribosomal RNA (bases 1-120)
Source: RNAcentral
GAUGAAGAACGUAGUGAAAUGCGAUAAGUAGUGUGAAUUGCAGAAUUCAGUGAAUCAUCGAAUCUUUGAACGCACAUUGCGCCCCUUGGUAUUCCAUGGGGCAUGCCUGUUCGAGCGUCAUUUGUACCUUCAAGCUUUGCUUGGUGUUGGGUGUUUGUCUCGCCUUUGCGUGUAGACUCGCCUUAAAAUAAUUGGCAGCCGGCGUAUUGAUUUCGGAGCGCAGUACAUCUCGCGCUUUGCACUCAUAACGACAGCGUCCAAAAGUACAUUUUACACUCUUGACCUCGGAUCAGGUAGGGAUACCCGCUGAACUUAAGCAUAUCAAUAAGCGAGGA